GCGGAUGUGGCGGAAUUGGCAGACGCGCUAGAUUCAGGUUCUAGUGCCCGCAAGGGCGUGGAGGUUCAAGUCCUCUCAUCCGCACUA
RNAcentral lists this transfer RNA (87 nucleotides) under Rhodopirellula maiorica SM1. RNAcentral's name for it is "tRNA-Leu". It matches the Rfam family "tRNA". From Rfam's summary of the family: Transfer RNA (tRNA) molecules are approximately 80 nucleotides in length. Their secondary structure includes four short double-helical elements and three loops (D, anti-codon, and T loops). The record is from RNAcentral. Lineage: Bacteria; Pseudomonadati; Planctomycetota; Planctomycetia; Pirellulales; Pirellulaceae.